GCCGGCAGCCAGCUCUCUGCAACUCUCACAUGUUCGCCCACUGAAGCUAAGCAGGGUUGCACCCGGUCAGUAGCUGAAUGGGAGACCAUGUGGAAAAAGCUAAGUUGCUGCCGUAA
Danio rerio (zebrafish) is the source of this 116-nucleotide ribosomal RNA. The record is from Ensembl. NCBI's taxonomy places the organism in Eukaryota, Metazoa, Chordata, Actinopteri, Cypriniformes, Danionidae.